AGCAGUCGCCACGGUAAUACGAAGGGGGCUAGCGUUGUUCGGAUUUACUGGGCGUAAAGCGCACGUAGGCGGACUUUUAAGUCAGGGGUGAAGUCCCGGGGCUCAACCCCGGAACUGCCUUUGAUACUGGGAGUCUUGAGUUCGAGAGAGGUGAGUGGAACUGCAGUGUAGAGGUGAAAUUCAUAGAUAUUCGCAGGAACACCAGUGGCGAAGGCGGCUCACUGGCUCGAUACUGACGCUGAGGUGCGAAGCGUGGGGAGCAAACAGGAUUAGAUACCCCCGUAGUCCCUGUCUCUUAUACAC
Molecule: ribosomal RNA, 303 nt
Filed under: uncultured bacterium
Lineage: Bacteria
Description: partial 16S ribosomal RNA
Rfam family: Bacterial small subunit ribosomal RNA
Source: RNAcentral